AUGUCAACAAACAAUCCGCUGGCCCAGACAGGUGGUCCAGGCCGGCAGGGCUGCCCUGAGCCUGCGCUGGGGACAGGACUCACCGUCGCGGCCACUGGGCCAGACACCCCCGAGGGCCACGCUGUAGCCAGACCUCCCUCGGUGGAGCAGCGCUGCGGCCCGUGGCACUCAGUUCCUAGGACAGAAACCCAGGUUUCCCGUGAGUGAAGCGGACUCACCCAUCACCCUCUCCCCUCCGGCUUCUGAGGCCAGCUCACCUUGAGGAUCUUGAUUUCCUUUCCCAGGAGAGUCUGGGACUUGGCGAGGUUCUUCUUGUUAAUGCACUUGACAGCGACCUCCAGGUCGUGUUUCUGAAAACCAAGCGCAGGUGUCCCUCAGGGGCGGGGAACCCGGGAACCCCUUGAAGGCCUUGCCCAAGCCAGGGGAAACGGGUUCAAGCCCUGGUCCGGGAAGAUCCCAUAUGUGUCAGAGCAACUAAGCCCGUGCACCACAACUACUGAGCCUGUGCUCUAGAGCCCGCGAGCCACAACGACUGAAGCCCAAGCGCCUAGAGCCCAUGCUCCGCAACAGGAGAAGCCACCGCAAUGAGAAGCCCGCGCAC
Molecule: long non-coding RNA, 601 nt
Organism: Balaenoptera ricei (Rice's whale)
Lineage: Eukaryota; Metazoa; Chordata; Mammalia; Artiodactyla; Balaenopteridae
Exons: 3
Source: RefSeq, a predicted model, not a curated record